GACCUCUGACCUCAAAUCAGGUAGGAUUACCCGCUGAACUUAAGCAUAUCAAUAAGCGGAGGAAAAGAAACUAACAAGGAUUCCCCUAGUAACUGCGAGUGAAGCGGGAAAAGCUCAAAUUUAAAAUCUGGCGGUCUCUGGCCGUCCGAGUUGUAGUCUGGAGAAGUGCUUUCCGCGCUGGACCGUGUACAAGUCUCUUGGAACAGAGCGUCAUAGAGGGUGAGAAUCCCGUCUUUGACACGGACUACCAGUGCUUUGUGAUGCGCUCUCAAAGAGUCGAGUUGUUUGGGAAUGCAGCUCAAAAUGGGUGGUGAAUUCCAUCUAAAGCUAAAUAUUGGCGAGAGACCGAUAGCGAACAAGUACCGUGAGGGAAAGAUGAAAAGCACUUUGGAAAGAGAGUUAAACAGUACGUGAAAUUGCUGAAAGGGAAACGCUUGAAGUCAGUCACGUUGGCCGGAACUCAGCCUUGCUUUUGCUUGGUGCACUUUCCGGUUUGACGGGUCAGCAUCAGUUUUGAUCGUCGGAUAAAGGCUGGAGGAAUGUGGCACCUUCGGGUGUGUUAUAGCCUCCAGUCACAUACGACGGUUGGGACUGAGGAUCUCAGCACGCCUUUAUGGCCGGGGUUCGCCCACGUUCGUGCUUAGGAUGCUGGCAUAAUGGCUUUAAGCGACCCGUCUUGAAACACGGACCAAGGAGUCUAACAUACCUGCGAGUGUUUGGGUGGAAAACCCGAGCGCGUAAUGAAAGUGAAAGUUGAGAUCCCUGUCGUGGGGAGCAUCGACGCCCGGACCUGACGUUCUCUGACGGCUCCGCGGUAGAGCAUGUAUGCUGGGACCCGAAAGAUGGUGAACUAUGCCUGAAUAGGGUGAAGCCAGAGGAAAC
RNAcentral lists this ribosomal RNA (882 nucleotides) under Resinoporia ladiana. Its description in RNAcentral is "eukaryotic LSU rRNA". It matches the Rfam family "Eukaryotic large subunit ribosomal RNA", at positions 1 to 862 of the family's 3401-position model. The record is from RNAcentral. Lineage: Eukaryota; Fungi; Basidiomycota; Agaricomycetes; Polyporales; Adustoporiaceae.